UGAGCUUGAUCCUGGCUCAGGAUGAACGCUAGCGGCAGGCUUAACACAUGCAAGUCGAGGGGUAUAGUUCUUCGGAGCUAGAGACCGGCGCACGGGUGCGUAACGCGUAUGCAAUCUACCUUUUACAGAGGGAUAGCCCAGAGAAAUUUGGAUUAAUACCUCAUAGCAUAGCAGCUUCGCAUGAAGCCACUAUUAAAGUCACAACGGUAAAAGAUGAGCAUGCGUCCCAUUAGCUAGUUGGUAAGGUAACGGCUUACCAAGGCUACGAUGGGUAGGGGUCCUGAGAGGGAGAUCCCCCACACUGGUACUGAGACACGGACCAGACUCCUACGGGAGGCAGCAGUGAGGAAUAUUGGACAAUGGGCGCAAGCCUGAUCCAGCCAUGCCGCGUGCAGGAUGACGGUCCUAUGGAUUGUAAACUGCUUUUGUACGAGAAGAAACACUCCUAUGUAUAGGAGCUGACGGUAUCGUAGA
This 474-nucleotide ribosomal RNA is filed under the name Flavobacterium sp. 01WB04.4-66. Its description in RNAcentral is "bacterial SSU rRNA". It matches the Rfam family "Bacterial small subunit ribosomal RNA", at positions 1 to 484 of the family's 1533-position model. Lineage: Bacteria; Pseudomonadati; Bacteroidota; Flavobacteriia; Flavobacteriales; Flavobacteriaceae. The record is from RNAcentral.